AAUCCCUAGCACCCUCCAUUCCCCAUCGGGCCUGGCAACACCUCUCCUUCCCCCGUCUCCUUCUCCACCACCGGCCGCCGCCGCGGCCAGGCCGGCGUGGCGGUGCGCCUUCCAGCCAUCCACCGUGCCCUCUCUACCAGCCGCCGCAUCACCACCUCCAACACCACCGCGCCGCUGCCACAGCACCAACCACAUCCAACGCCUCCCUCCAGCCCGCGCGACCCUGCCUCGCCCUGCUUCUUCUUCCCCUCGACCUCCUGCUACUACUACUCCCUCUCUCCAUCGCCUUGCUGCUGCUCUGAAUCUCCCUCACCUGCUGCUGCGCCUUCUCUCUUCCUCCCCUACCGCUGCUGCUCAUCUCUCCGCUCCUCCUCCUAAUCUUCUUCCCCAUCCCUACUGCUUCUUCUUCUUCCCUUGUCCCGCUUCUCCUCUUCUCCAAGCCCCACUGCUGCUCCCUUCUUCUUGCGCCCCUGCUACUCCUCCUCCUCCUCUCUCCAUCCCCACGUUACCGCUGCUUAUUCUUGCGACUUCCUGCUCCCUUCGCCUUCCUUGCUGCUCCCUGCCUCUUCUCUGAACCUUUUGCUGCUGCUUAUCUCUCUCUCUGAAUUUUCUGUAAUUGGAGAUGUGUAGUACUUGUAAGGUUCAGAUUCUGAUAAGUGUUUGCAACCAACUAGUUUGUUCAGUUCGUACUUGUUAAAUAUCAUGUCAUAAAUUCUAUGUUCUGAAUAGUGGAUUUCUUGUUGCUUUGGGAACUAACUAAUAUGUACUCUCUCCGUUCCAAAAUAGAUGACUCAACUUUAUACUAACUUUGUACUAAAGUUAGUAUAAAGUUGAGUCAUCUAUUUUGGAACGGAGGGAGUAAUAUUUUGUUGCUUUGGUAAUUAGUGUUCUGUCAGCAUAUACGUGUGUUCACUCUGUAUUUCUUCUCGCUGUACUAGUUAAUUUCUACUAGUAAUUUUUAGUUGUUAAAUACUGUCGUGUUGAUCUGUGGGUACUAAUCUUGUGGCUUGUAAGAUUUCGUUUCUGUUGUCACUUGUGUAACCUGAACCGUGGUGUAGUAUCCUGUUCGCAUAUGUGUGGUUUUGUGUGUUCUGUAGUCCCUGUAUUAGCUAUGUACCUGUGAUAUAUAAAUGUGUGUGUGUGUUUGAUUUGAAACAAUUAUAUUUUGUCAUAUAUUCUCGCUUCUUCCCUCUGUUUAUGUUUGAUAGUGAUGUGUCCUUGUCUUGUAGCUUUAAUUGAUAUUGACUCCUGUUUGUGUUAGUAUUGUAGAUUCUCAAGUAAUACAAAAAUACUAAAAAGACAGAUUAAAAAUAAUCUUCAUCUCCCUUUGCUUCUUUGUCAUUUUCUUUGUUGAUGAUCCUUGUUGGUGUUAGGUUUAUUUUCUGUUUUCAUCAUUCAAUUGGGUCACCUAGCUUUAGUCGAACGUAGUUAGCCGUUGCCUAGUCCUUGUGAAGAACACGACACUCGCAGUUUGGGCGUAAAACCCCACUAUACUUACAAUUGAUCAGUUAUGCAUGCGUGCGCAGCUUUCACUUUUUUACCCCGAGGAGUAUGUGGCCAUGACUACAAUGCUCGAGAAGGUUUGGAAAAAGUUCACUGCACAAGCUCCGGGACUGCCGGGGGAGCUGCGAUUUACACACCCAUAAUGGUUGUGGCAGGAACCCAGGAAUAAUUACUGUGGAUACUACGUUUGCGAGUUCAUACGCCACACGACAUGUGAGCGGGCUACUCUAAAAACAAUAUGAAAUGUUUCAGAUGUGGGAUGAACUCUUACCAUAAGAUCGCAUACGAGCAAUUCAAGAGGAAUUGGCGGGAUUCUUUCUUGACCACGUCAUCAAUAAAGACAGAGAGUACCAUGUGGAACUUUAGUUCAGAUGUUAGGGGAUUGUAAGAGAUCUUAUAUUGUAUAUAUAUAGCCAGUAGUGUCGGAUAGAUAUACGAGAACUUGUUGUUCGACCAAUCUCUCAGAGAAGGAGGGGUUGAUCACUUCUCUCUGUAUAUGUUCAUGACGAUCUUCUGAAUUUAAUGGUUUCCUUCAUUUGCUUA
Molecule: long non-coding RNA, 2046 nt
Organism: Triticum aestivum (bread wheat)
Lineage: Eukaryota; Viridiplantae; Streptophyta; Magnoliopsida; Poales; Poaceae
Exons: 4
Source: RefSeq, a predicted model, not a curated record